GAAGAUGUUCUUGAGAAUCGCGCC
RNAcentral lists this non-coding RNA (24 nucleotides) under Arabidopsis thaliana (thale cress). Lineage: Eukaryota; Viridiplantae; Streptophyta; Magnoliopsida; Brassicales; Brassicaceae. The record is from RNAcentral.